GCUCUGUCAGUGUUGCGCUACUGUGGACCUGGCGCGAGCAGUGCAAUAUUGAAAGAGCAG
This 60-nucleotide microRNA precursor is filed under the name Scyliorhinus torazame (cloudy catshark). RNAcentral describes it as "Sto-Mir-130-P4a_pre stem-loop". The record is from RNAcentral. Lineage: Eukaryota; Metazoa; Chordata; Chondrichthyes; Carcharhiniformes; Scyliorhinidae.